This 474-nucleotide ribosomal RNA is filed under the name uncultured bacterium. Its description in RNAcentral is "bacterial SSU rRNA". It matches the Rfam family "Bacterial small subunit ribosomal RNA", at positions 34 to 507 of the family's 1533-position model. The record is from RNAcentral.
CGCUGGCGGCGUGCUUAAUACAUGCAAGUCAACUUGACUUUAGAUAGCAAUAUCGAAAGUAGGGUGGCGCACGGGUGCGUAACGCGUAGGUAAUCUGCCCUGAGGUCUGACAUAACCCGUCGAAAGGCGGGCUAACAUCAGAUGAUAUAUAAUCACGACAUCGUGGAAAUAUCAAAUCUUCGGAGCCUUGGGAUGAGCCUGCGUCUGAUUAGGUAGUUGGCGGAGUAAUAGCCCACCAAGCCUACGAUCAGUAGCUGGUCUGAGAGGAUGAUCAGCCACACUGGAACUGAGACACGGUCCAGACUCCUACGGGAGGCAGCAGUAAGGAAUAUUGCUCAAUGGGGGGAAACCCUGAAGCAGCAACGCCGCGUGAAGGAUGAAAUACUUUUGUAUGUAAACUUCUGUAAGAUGGGAAAAAUAUUCUCCUCGGGAGAAUUGAUUGUACCAUCAGAGUAAGCCCCGGCUAACUACGUG